This 450-nucleotide ribosomal RNA is filed under the name uncultured bacterium. Its description in RNAcentral is "bacterial SSU rRNA". It matches the Rfam family "Bacterial small subunit ribosomal RNA", at positions 29 to 524 of the family's 1533-position model. The record is from RNAcentral.
AGCGAACGCUGGCGGCAGGCCUAAAACAUGCAAGUCGAACGCCUGUAGCAAUACAGGAGUGGCAGACGGGUGAGUAACACGUGGGAACGUACCCUUGGUUCGGAACAACACAGGGAAACUUGUGCUAAUACCGGAUAAGCCCUUACGGGGAAAGAUUUAUCGCCAGAGGAUCGGCCCGCGUCUGAUUAGCUUGUUGGUGAGGUAACGGCUCACCAAGGCUACGAUCAGUAGCGGUCUGGANAGGAUGAUCAGCCACACUGGGACUGAGACACGGCCAGACUCCUACGGGAGGCAGCAGUUAGGAAUCUUGGACAAUGGGCGCAAGCCUGAUCCAGCCAUGCCGCGUGAGUGAUGAAGGCCUUAGGGUUGUAAAGCUCUUUCAGCGGGGAAGAUAAUGACGGUACCCGCAGAAGAAGCCCCGGCUAACUUCGUGCCAGCCGCCGCUGUAAC